GACGAACGCUGGCGGCGUGCUUAACACAUGCAAGUCGAACGAAGAGCGAUGGAAGCUUGCUUCUAUCAAUCUUAGUGGCGCACGGGUGAGUAACGCGUAAUCAACCUGCCCUUCAGAGGGGGACAACAGUUGGAAACGACUGCUAAUACCGCAUACGAUCUAAUCUCGGCAUCCAGGAGAGAUGAAGGGUGGCCUCUACAGGUAAGCUAUCACUGAAGGUGGGUAUUGCGUCUGAUUAGCUAGUUGGAGGGGGAACGGCCCACCAAGGGGAUGAUCAGUAGCCGGUCUGGGAGGAUGGACGGCCACAUUGGGACUGGGACACGGCCCAGACUCCUACGGGGGGCAGCAGUGGGGAAUCUUUCGCCAUGGACGGAAGUCUGACGGAGCAACGCCGCGUGAGUGAUGACGGCCUUCGGGUUGUAAAGCUCUGUUUAUCGGGAAGAAAGGCCUUCUUGCGAAUAGUGAGAAGGAUUGACGGUACCGGAAUAGAAAGCCACGGCUAACUACGUG
Molecule: ribosomal RNA, 510 nt
Filed under: uncultured bacterium
Lineage: Bacteria
Description: partial 16S ribosomal RNA
Rfam family: Bacterial small subunit ribosomal RNA
Source: RNAcentral